GGUGAACGCUGGCGGCGUGCCUAACACAUGCAAGUCGAGCGGGUACCCGCAAGGGCACCAGCGGCGCACGGGUGAGUAACACGUGGGUAAUCUACCCCUCGGAGGGGGAUAACCGGGGGAAACUCCGGCUAAUACCCCAUACGAUCCAACAACACAAGUUGUUGGAUGAAAGGAGCGUUUGCUCCGCCGAGGGAUGAGCCCGCGGCCCAUCAGGUAGUUGGUGGGGUAAUGGCCCACCAAGCCUACGACGGGUAGCCGGCCUGAGAGGGUGGUCGGCCACAAGGGCACUGAGACACGGGCCCUACUCCUACGGGAGGCAGCAGUGGGGAAUCUUGGACAAUGGGCGAAAGCCUGAUCCAGCGACGCCGCGUGGGGGAUGAAGCCCUUCGGGGUGUAAACCCCUGUUGCGAGGGAGGAAUAAGGCCUGGAGGAAAUGCCAGGCCGAUGACUGUACCUCGCGAGGAAGCCCCGGCUAACUACGUACCAGCAGCCGCGGUAAUACGUAGGGGGCGAGCGUUACCCGGAUUCACUGGGCGUAAAGCGGGUGUAGGCGGCUCGGUAAGUCGGGUGUGAAAUCCCACAGCUCAACUGUGGAAUUGCGCCCGAAACUGCUGAGCUUGGGGCCGGUAGAGGGAGACGGAACUGCCGGUGUAGGGGUGAAAUCCGUAGAUAUCGGCAGGAACGCCGGUGGGGAAGCCGGUCUCCUGGGCCGCGCCCGACGCUGAGACCCGAAAGCUAGGGGAGCAAACC
Molecule: ribosomal RNA, 750 nt
Filed under: uncultured Thermotoga sp.
Lineage: Bacteria; Thermotogati; Thermotogota; Thermotogae; Thermotogales; Thermotogaceae
Description: bacterial SSU rRNA
Rfam family: Bacterial small subunit ribosomal RNA
Source: RNAcentral